GUUUUAACAAAGACAAGAUAACAUGAUCACAAAGGUGGUUUUCUCAGGCUUAUCCAUUGCACUCUGGAUGUGCUGACCCUGUGAUUUCCCCAAAUAUGGGAAACUUGACUGCAUAAUUCAUGGUAGUGUGACCUACAUUCAUGCUCUUCUUUG
Molecule: small nuclear RNA, 153 nt
Organism: Mesocricetus auratus (golden hamster)
Lineage: Eukaryota; Metazoa; Chordata; Mammalia; Rodentia; Cricetidae
Gene: U1
Rfam family: U1 spliceosomal RNA
About the family: U1 is a small nuclear RNA (snRNA) component of the spliceosome (involved in pre-mRNA splicing).
Source: Ensembl